UGGGGAAUAUUGCACAAUGGGCGCAAGCCUGAUGCAGCCAUGCCGCGUGUAUGAAGAAGGCCUUCGGGUUGUAAAGCACUUUCAGCGGGGAGGAAGGCGUUAAGGUUAAUAACCUUGGCGAUUGACGUUACCCGCAGAAGAAGCACCGGCUAACUCCGUGCCAGCAGCCGCGGUAAUACGGAGGGUGCAAGCGUUAAUCGGAAUUACUGGGCGUAAAGCGCACGCAGGCGGUCUGUCAAGUCGGAUGUGAAAUCCCCGGGCUUAACCUGGGAACUGCAUUCGAAACUGGCAGGCUAGAGUCUUGUAGAGGGGGGUAGAAUUCCAGGUGUAGCGGUGAAAUGCGUAGAGAUCUGGAGGAAUACCGGUGGCGAAGGCGGCCCCCUGGACAAAGACUGACGCUCAGGUGCGAAAGCGUGGGGAGCAAACAGG
Molecule: ribosomal RNA, 429 nt
Filed under: Chloroflexota bacterium
Lineage: Bacteria; Bacillati; Chloroflexota
Description: Chloroflexi bacterium partial 16S ribosomal RNA
Rfam family: Bacterial small subunit ribosomal RNA
Source: RNAcentral